GACGAACGCUGGCGGCGUGCUUAACACAUGCAAGUCGUACGGUAAGGCCCUUUCGGGGGUACACGAGUGGCGAACGGGUGCGUAACACGUGAGUAACCUGCCCACAACUUUGGGAUAACGCUAGGAAACUGGUGCUAAUACUGGAUAUGUGCUCCUGCUGCAUGGUGGGGGUUGGAAAGCUCCGGCGGUUGUGGAUGGACUCGCGGCCUAUCAGCUUGUUGGUGGGGUAGUGGCCUACCAAGGCGGCGACGGGUAGCCGGCCUGAGAGGGUGACCGGCCACAUUGGGACUGAGAUACGGCCCAGACUCCUACGGGAGGCAGCAGUGGGGAAUAUUGCACAAUGGGCGCAAGCCUGGUGCAGCAACGCCGCGUGCGGGAUGACGGCCUUCGGGUUGUAAACCGCUUUCAGCAGGGACGAAGCUUUUUGUGACGGUACCUGCAGAAGAAGCACCGGCUAACUACGUG
RNAcentral lists this ribosomal RNA (465 nucleotides) under uncultured bacterium. RNAcentral describes it as "partial 16S ribosomal RNA". It matches the Rfam family "Bacterial small subunit ribosomal RNA", at positions 28 to 507 of the family's 1533-position model. The record is from RNAcentral.